Molecule: long non-coding RNA, 3157 nt
Organism: Ricinus communis (castor bean)
Lineage: Eukaryota; Viridiplantae; Streptophyta; Magnoliopsida; Malpighiales; Euphorbiaceae
Exons: 2
Source: RefSeq, a predicted model, not a curated record
UAUAAAAUAAAAUUUAAAUAUUUAUUAAAUUAAAUUAAAAAUUAAAAUAUUAAAGUAAUAAAAAAUUGAGGCUGCCUUUCUUUUAAUUCUAUCCAUCCUUCCGCUUAUCCAUCCUCCAACCAGACAUGGCCUAAGUUACUUGCAUAAUGCAAUGCGGGCAGUAACAGGUCAAACAGGGGCAGGUCUUGUUCGUGGCACACGUUUCUAUUCCGUUCAUUUUGGUCCUCAGAUAGUUCACACUAGGAAAAGCAUAAAGGACACAUGUCAAAUCUUUUCAAAAAGGAGUUGGAGUCUUUUGACUUUUUUUAGGUCUUUAAUUAAUUUCAAACCUUUUUAUUGAAUUUAUGAAUGAUUCCAUAUUAAAACAAUAUUCGACUUCUGAAUUUUUAGGUUAUCUCCUAUCUUUCUAUUUCCAUUGCAUUCAUUACCAAAGAAAACGUUUUUUAUAAGGAAAAAGCAUCUUUUGCCCCUUGCACUAUCAAACGUUUAUAUUUAUGCCUCCGACACUUUUAUUUCUAUAUAUUGGAUCCUUGCACUUUAUUUUUUGUUGACAUUUAACCCUUUUUUAACAGAGUGUGAAAGCGUCAAAUUUUAUUAUUAACUAAGAUUUGAAAUGCUAAAAGCACGUCAAAAGGUUCUUUCACGUCAUAUUCCACGUGUAAGUAAUAUAACAUGUCAUCUUAUCUUUGAGGUUGAACAUUAUAUAUGUAUUCUCCUUUACCAAUUAGGGUUUUUACUGAGCUUUUGAAAAUUCUGCAUUGCUUACUCCUCUUGUGCUUGACGGCUAGGAAAAAUGGAAGGUGAAGGAACUCCAUUUUGCAAGUGUGGCAACCUAGCUCGUUUGGCAACACCCAAGGACGAUUCAAACUUAGGGAAGCAUACAUAUAUAUGUUCACAUGAAAUUAUUAAUAGGUAUGACUUUCAAAUGAAUUACAAUGUCCAGUUUAGUUAUCACCAAGUUCAUUAUAUUAACGCUUUGAGAAAGAAGUUGUCCAAUUUAAGAGAAAAAAGAAAUGAAACAUUGAUACAAGCUAGGGAAGCACAAGCCAUUAGCUCAUGUGCUUUAGAACAAAUGAAGAGUUACAAAACAAAAAAUUUUAGAUUGAGCAAGGAGAUUGAAGCAUUGAAAGCUGAGAAUAUAGCAGCAGAAAAUUUCGGGUUGAGGUUGAAAUUCAGGUGCUGAAGGAGGAAUCUGGACUUCUAUUGAUGGAGAUUGAUACAUUAACAGAGAAGCUCAAAGCAAACAAGGGAAUGAGAUGGGAGGGAGAUUGAUGUUGGUUGAUGUAUCUCUUUUGUAUUUUAAUGAAAUGAAGUUUCUAGUGCUUGUUACUCAUCAAACUUACAACUCCAAACCUAUAACUUUAUGUGAAAAAUAAGAGAUCAAAUAAACUAACAGAAUGUUUACAACCAAAACCAUUAAAAGAUGGCCAUACAGGACACUUGCUUUAGCACAAUUUGAAAAAGAAUAUGGUCAUAAUAGGCACUUGGAUGUACUAAAAAGAUUUGCAUUACUAACAAAAUAGAGCACUUGCCUUAGCACAAUUUAACAAUCUAGUCAUACUUUAUCAAAUCCUAACAAAAUGUACUGAAACAAAACCAACAAAAUAUGGUCAGGCCCUUUUAGGAAAGCAAGUGUGGCGCCUCUUUACUAAGGGUGAGUUAUUGGUGGCCAUGAUUUUCAAAGCCAGGCAUUAACUAAGUUCCUCUUACUUAGAAGCUCGAAUUGGCCAAAACCCCAGUUAGGUGUGGCAGAGCAUUUUGCAAGCCCAGGGUUUGAUUAAGAGUGGAAUAAGGAAGUGUAUUGGCGGUGGAAAUGAAACCAACAUAUGGAAGGAGCCGUGGUUACCAAACAACAUCAAUGGCUUUGUAACUACCACCCGGCUCUUCAUUUACAAGGGGCUAAGGUUAGUUCUCUACUUUGUUUAGAAAAGUCUUGGGAUGUUGAUAUUAUCAAAGGGACAAAAAGCUCAUUUUUCUAUUCCUUUGAGAGUUGACAGUGUCAUAGAUGAUUAGUAUUGGUUUUGGGAGAAGAAAGGUGCUUAUUCAGUAAGAAGUGCGUAUAGGUGCCUUAUGAAUAAAUUUUAUGCUGAACCUCCCCCUCAGCUGAAGAAAAUGUAGACGAAGUUAUGGGCAUUAAAGGUUACCCCAAAGGUGAAAUCUAUAGUGUAUAGGGCGUGUCGUGGUUGUCCACCCAUUGUUGAUAACCUUAGGAUACGAAAAAUUAAAUGUGUCAAAUUGCAGCCUAAUGUGUAAUGAGACGGGAGAAUCAGUGGCUCGGUCUUUUGGAGUGUCCUUUUGCUCGUAGAUGUUGGGAAGCAUCACCAGUUGGCUUUGUGGCGGAUGGAGCUAAUUCUAUUUGUGCUUGGUUAAUUAAUAUAAUGAGCAUAUGUUCGCUUGAGGAUACUUGUUUUGCCGCUGUUCUAAUAUGGGCAAUUUGGUCUAACAGAAACCAGAUUGUUCGGUCUUCUCAUCAGAAACGCUUGUGCAAAUUGUUCAGGGGGCUAGUGUUUUUUUGAAUCAAUUGAAUUUGGCUAACCAACUACAGCCAACGCAAGUUCAGCGUGUGCAGGAUAGAGAGGUUCAGAACUGGCAAAGAUUUGAAGCUGGCUGUAUAGCAUGUAGUAUUAGUGCUGUUGUUUCUCCUCUACUGGUAAAGUGGGUUUAGGCUUCAUCGUUCGGGAUGAUGCUGGUAUGAUCUUAGCUGCAAGGAAUUCUCAGGUGGAAGAUGACCAUGUGACUCCAGCUGCGGUGGAGGCAAUGGGGCUUAGAGAGGCUAUGUCCUGGUUAAGGUAGAAGAAUGUCAGCAGAGUUCAAGUGCAAAUGGAAUCGCUACUAAGAAACGAAAACUCAAUCAAUGGUCAUUUGUUUAAGACCAGAAUCAAGGCUCCCCGUUGUCGAAAGAAGAAAAAUCAAAGCUUCAAAAUAUCGAUUACCAAAAUUUGUCUCUCUUCACUAUAUUUUCUCUCUCCUCCCUACGUCUCAUCAUCCAAAGCCAACAAAAAACGAUUAGCUUCUUUCUUUUCUUUCCAACAAUGCCAACUAUGUCCUUUAACUCCUUUCAUACUGAAUUCUGCCAUUCUUAUCAAAAGAAAAGGAAAUUAAUGCUCUUCAUUUUGUUUGUUCAAUGGCAGAUGAAGAUGACAAUUCCUUUGGCAAA